UAUGAGAUUUAUUAUUCUCCCAACAUUAUUCCCUUUUAAUCAUCGAGAAACUUUGAAAUUAAUCGUCGAAAUAUUUUGUUUUAUACUUUUCCAUGCUUAACCAUGAAUUAUUUUUGGACGUGCAUAUGCGGUGAAUCACGCUACUCUUGGGACUUAACCAAAAUAAUUUUGUCUUAGUUUGCUCUACAGUAUCCUAUUGCAAUCCCGUUGCGUUUAAGAACUCCGGUGGUUUCCCGAAUAGCACGCGUUCUGAGAAGUUUGAUCUUAAAUAUUAAACUCAUUGUCGAAGAUCCUUCGCGUGAAAGUUAUUUAAAGUAAAAUAAGAAUGUGGAAAAAGUUCCCUACACAAUUUGCUCCAUAGCAAACCAUCCGCGACCGCCACCAGCGGCGGGGCCUCAACUUUAAUAAAUAAAAAAACGUAGUGGUAGCAAUGAAUAUGAAGAAGAGCUCCAUUGCGAUCGUCGGGAGUUUUCCGGACAGAUGUUUGGGAAGAACAGCUGCAAGCUUGUGGAUAAUGAAUCUUGUUCGAAGCGGCGCAAAAGUGGAAGUGAUCUGAAUUAAAAUCAACGAUGAUCAUCAAAUGCAAUAUAAUGAGACCCUUAUCACACACUUCUUCAUGAUUUGACUGAAAAUAAAUGCGCUUCAUGCGAAUAUUAA
Molecule: long non-coding RNA, 657 nt
Organism: Aedes aegypti (yellow fever mosquito)
Lineage: Eukaryota; Metazoa; Arthropoda; Insecta; Diptera; Culicidae
Exons: 2
Source: RefSeq, a predicted model, not a curated record